AGAAACAUAAGGUGGAAGAAGAGAAAGGGGGAGGAGAGGAGAUGGGGAGGACGGUGUCGGCGGGCGUCACUGCCGCCGCACCGUCGCGUCGCGCAGGGGCGAGAGGAGCGAGAUCCGUGAAUGAGGCAAGGAUCUGCACCGGUGGCAUUGGGGUUUGCCGUUGCCGCUUGAUGCCGCCGAGGGGAGGAGGGUUACAACCACCGCAAGGAGCCGUCGAUGUCACCGUCGCGAGUCACCAUCCCCGAGUUGUAGCACCAUGAAGCCAGCCUCUUCGCGUCGCCGCGGCUGCCCGCGCUAUCGUCGUCGCCGUUGGUCCACCGGGAGUCACCGUUGAAACUGAGACACAGAGAGAGAGGGUACGCGAGUAAGAAGGGGCUGAGGGCCUAAAACCGCCGUGCCUGGUCUCGUCUGUGAAGCCAUUGCCGUCGUCAGCAGAACAGAGGGCGAGAGAGAGACAGAGAGCUCGCGGUGGGGGAAACAACCUACGACGCCGCUGGAGCUUCUAUGGCCGUCGGAUGCUGCCGCCGCCAGAAUUUCUGGUCACUGCCGUUCUGGUGAGCUUGCCCUGUUUCUGGUUCCUCCUAGUUCUGCCAGUUCAAUUUUACUUUGAAGCUGUCGCUGAAAAUGUUGUAUUUGAUGAAGUGGCUGUCAUAAGUUGCGUUGUCAUUGCCGGAGACGCUGUUGUAGUCUCCGGACCCAUCACCAGAGCUUCUGCAGUUUGAUUCAGUCCUUAAUCCUUUCUCACGGGUCAAUCUCCGGUUAUUGCGGGUCACGAUUAAAGCUGCCGCCGAACCGGUUCAGGGACCGCCGCUGUUUGGUGCAGCCGUUCUUUCUUUGUUUCGAGAGCAAGCAGAGGCGAGGUUCUGAUUUUCGGUGAUUUUGGGCUGAGCGAAAAGGAAUCAGUUAACGAGUUUGGGUUAUAGCUUCAAUUUGUCGAGGAUAUGGGCGCAGAAGUCACGAAGAGUUUAUUUAAUUGUUGUUGAAAUGUUAUAUAUUGUUUUAGAUUAUUAUUUAAUGUACCCUCGCCUUUGUCUUGAGAUAUUCUAUAAGAGGGAUAGGAAUUGUUUUGG
Long non-coding RNA from Arachis duranensis, 1070 nucleotides. RefSeq lists it as uncharacterized. NCBI's taxonomy places the organism in Eukaryota, Viridiplantae, Streptophyta, Magnoliopsida, Fabales, Fabaceae. The record is from RefSeq and is a predicted model, not a curated record. The transcript has 3 exons.